RNAcentral lists this unclassified non-coding RNA (233 nucleotides) under Hevea brasiliensis (rubber tree). Lineage: Eukaryota; Viridiplantae; Streptophyta; Magnoliopsida; Malpighiales; Euphorbiaceae. The record is from RNAcentral.
GUAGUGAUGCUUUUACAAUCGAAAUCGAUGGUCUUUAUCCAGUUCUCAAAAUCUCCAAUUUCCUUAACGGCAGUGUUCAAAGCGUGAGUGGCGGCAAGCCAUUGAUCGGUCUGCUUCGUAAAUCGGGCAAUCGUAGUCGCUAAAGCCCUAAUUUCGAGCUCAAUCAACUUCUGAUUGACAAAAGAUUCCUGAACUCCACCAUUCACGGCAUCGACUAAAAGAUCCGAAACGCG